RNAcentral lists this ribosomal RNA (468 nucleotides) under uncultured bacterium. RNAcentral's name for it is "partial 16S ribosomal RNA". It matches the Rfam family "Bacterial small subunit ribosomal RNA", at positions 28 to 507 of the family's 1533-position model. The record is from RNAcentral.
GACGAACGCUGGCGGCGUGCUUAACACAUGCAAGUCGAACGGAAAGGCCCUGCUUUUGUGGGGUGCUCGAGUGGCGAACGGGUGAGUAACACGUGAGUAACCUGCCCUUGACUUUGGGAUAACUUCAGGAAACUGGGGCUAAUACCGGAUAGGAGCUCCUGCUGCAUGGUGGGGGUUGGAAAGUUUCGGCGGUUGGGGAUGGACUCGCGGCUUAUCAGCUUGUUGGUGGGGUAGUGGCUUACCAAGGCUUUGACGGGUAGCCGGCCUGAGAGGGUGGCCGGCCACAUUGGGACUGAGAUACGGCCCAGACUCCUACGGGAGGCAGCAGUGGGGAAUAUUGCACAAUGGGCGGAAGCCUGAUGCAGCAACGCCGCGUGCGGGAUGAAGGCCUUCGGGUUGUAAACCGCUUUCGCCUGUGACGAAGCGUGAGUGACGGUAAUGGGUAAAGAAGCACCGGCUAACUACGUG